Claviceps purpurea 20.1 is the source of this 100-nucleotide non-coding RNA. The record is from Rfam. Lineage: Eukaryota; Fungi; Ascomycota; Sordariomycetes; Hypocreales; Clavicipitaceae.
GGCAGAGUGCCCGAGUGGUCCAAGGGGAUUGACUUGAAUGAGCUCUCUCAUCAGCUAUCAAUUACGUUCGCGUGCGCAGGUUCGAACCCUGUCUCUGUCG